Long non-coding RNA from Physeter macrocephalus (sperm whale), 557 nucleotides. RefSeq lists it as uncharacterized. The transcript has 3 exons. The record is from RefSeq and is a predicted model, not a curated record. Lineage: Eukaryota; Metazoa; Chordata; Mammalia; Artiodactyla; Physeteridae.
CCCCUCCGCAGCAUCUCCUCCCGGAGCCGGGUCUCAGUCGCCGACCCUUUAAGUUUAAAGAAGGAGCGUGUCCAGUCGGCCCCGCGUGGCUCACAAGAGGUUAACGAAAGCGCGCGGGGGGCUGCCCCGCGCCGGAACCCAGCAAGCUCAUUGGUCGGAUCUGCGGAGGUCGUGGCCAAUGGGAGGAGGCUGCGAGACGCCCGCCGCUGGAGCCGCGGGGAGGAGGCGGGAGGAGGGCACGGCUCGCGCGGGGGAGGGUUCGCGGCCUCCGCCGAAGCGCGGGCUGCACAAGAGAGGAAAACUGAGAGCCAAGGGAAGGAAUGGACUUGCCCAGGAUCACACAGCUCAAGGCCCAGUACUGGAUACCACUGUCUGAUCAUGAUCAUGCCUCCUUUCCUGUGCUGGACCAAGGCCCAGAUGAGCAGCUGGGGAUGCAAGGCUGAAUGGAGCAGCAGGAAGAGGCUGUAGGCGGCAGAGUUCAUUCAGAAGAAAGUCCAACUUAAGAGCUGCUGAAGGCUGAGGGAUCCUCACAGGGGGGCUCUACCAAUAAAGGUACA